GACGAACGCUGGCGGCGUGCCUAACACAUGCAAGUCGAACGGAACUUUUUUAAAAGAUUUCUUCGGAAUGAAUUUGAUUAAGUUUAGUGGCGGACGGGUGAGUAACGCGUGAGUAACCUGCCUCUAAGAGGGGAAUAACAUUCUGAAAAGAAUGCUAAUACCGCAUAAUAUAUAUUUAUCGCAUGGUAGAUAUAUCAAAGAUUUAUCGCUUAGAGAUGGACUCGCGUCCGAUUAGUUAGUUGGUGAGGUAACGGCUCACCAAGACCGCGAUCGGUAGCCGGACUGAGAGGUUGAACGGCCACAUUGGGACUGAGACACGGCCCAGACUCCUACGGGAGGCAGCAGUGGGGGAUAUUGCGCAAUGGGGGAAACCCUGACGCAGCAACGCCGCGUGAAGGAUGAAGGUCUUCGGAUUGUAAACUUCUUUUAUUAAGGACGAAGAAAGUGACGGUAC
RNAcentral lists this ribosomal RNA (454 nucleotides) under uncultured bacterium. RNAcentral's name for it is "bacterial SSU rRNA". It matches the Rfam family "Bacterial small subunit ribosomal RNA", at positions 28 to 478 of the family's 1533-position model. The record is from RNAcentral.